GGGAGGAAGGUGGGGAUGACGUCAAGUCCUCAUGGCCUUUAUGUCCAGGGCUACACACGUGCUACAAUGGGUUGUACAAAGGGUUGCGAACUCGCGAGAGUAAGCCAAUCCCAAAAAGCAACUCUUAGUUCGGAUUGGAGUCUGCAACUCGACUCCAUGAAGCUGGAAUCGCUAGUAAUCGUGGAUCAGCAUGCCACGGUGAAUACGUUCCCGGGCCUU
RNAcentral lists this ribosomal RNA (219 nucleotides) under uncultured Desulfobacteraceae bacterium. Its description in RNAcentral is "partial 16S ribosomal RNA". It matches the Rfam family "Bacterial small subunit ribosomal RNA", at positions 1164 to 1382 of the family's 1533-position model. Lineage: Bacteria; Pseudomonadati; Thermodesulfobacteriota; Desulfobacteria; Desulfobacterales; Desulfobacteraceae. The record is from RNAcentral.